GAUGAACGCUGGCGGCGUGCCUAAUACAUGCAAGUCGAGCGAACAGACGAGGAGCUUGCUCCUCAACGUUAGCGGCGGACGGGUGAGUAACACGUGGAUAACCUACCUAUAAGACUGGGAUAACUUCGGGAAACCGGAGCUAAUACCGGAUAAUAUAUUGAACCGCAUGGUUCAAUAGUGAAAGACGGUUUUGCUGUCACUUAUAGAUGGAUCCGCGCCGCAUUAGCUAGUUGGUAAGGUAACGGCUUACCAAGGCAACGAUGCGUAGCCGACCUGAGAGGGUGAUCGGCCACACUGGAACUGAGACACGGUCCAGACUCCUACGGGAGGCAGCAGUAGGGAAUCUUCCGCAAUGGGCGAAAGCCUGACGGAGCAACGCCGCGUGAGUGAUGAAGGUCUUCGGAUCGUAAAACUCUGUUAUUAGGGAAGAACAAAUGUGUAAGUAACUAUGCACGUCUUGACGGUACCUAAUCAGAAAGCCACGGCUAACUACGUG
Molecule: ribosomal RNA, 496 nt
Filed under: uncultured bacterium
Lineage: Bacteria
Description: partial 16S ribosomal RNA
Rfam family: Bacterial small subunit ribosomal RNA
Source: RNAcentral